CAGUCGCCGCGGGAAUACAGAGGGUGCGAGCGUUAAUCGGAUUUACUGGGCGUAAAGCGUGCGUAGGCGGCUUUUUAAGUCGGAUGUGAAAUCCCUGAGCUUAACUUAGGAAUUGCAUUCGAUACUGGGAAGCUAGAGUAUGGGAGAGGAUGGUAGAAUUCCAGGUGUAGCGGUGAAAUGCGUAGAGAUCUGGAGGAAUACCGAUGGCGAAGGCAGCCAUCUGGCCUAAUACUGACGCUGAGGUACGAAAGCAUGGGGAGCAAACAGGAUUUGAUACCCGCGUAGUCCCUGUCUCUUAUAC
This 301-nucleotide ribosomal RNA is filed under the name uncultured bacterium. Its description in RNAcentral is "partial 16S ribosomal RNA". It matches the Rfam family "Bacterial small subunit ribosomal RNA", at positions 509 to 807 of the family's 1533-position model. The record is from RNAcentral.